Molecule: long non-coding RNA, 430 nt
Organism: Podarcis muralis (Common wall lizard)
Lineage: Eukaryota; Metazoa; Chordata; Lepidosauria; Squamata; Lacertidae
Source: RefSeq, a predicted model, not a curated record
GGCAUCCGGUCAUGUGACCGGCAAGCGGCCUUUGGGACUAUGGUUUUCGACGAGCGUCUAGGGGUGGCGCUCUACAUUUAGGCAUCUCUAUGGUGGAAGCGCGGACGCGGCUUUGAAUCUAGAGAUCUAUGACAAAGAACAGCGGGGGUGGCAGAAAGUGUGAAGAGAGGAUUAACAUAAGGAAAAACCAGCUAUGCAGAUCGUGAGGCUGGAUGUUCGGGAAAUAGUUUCAAUACCCAGUAGAUGGCAGUGUGGGUAUAAAUAAGUUGUUCUUUUAUUGAUGACUCUACAUCCUAUGAUUCUGCGUGGUCAACCUUCCAGGGACAGGACCCGACUUGGACAUAAGAACAUAGGAAGAGCUUCCUGGAUCAGGCCAAUGGCCCAUCUAGUCCAGCAUCCUGUUCUUGCAGUGGCCAAGCAGAUGUCUGUG